CUACGGGGGGCAGCAGUGAGGAAUAUUGCACAAUGGACGGAAGUCUGAUGCAGCGACGCCGCGUGGAUGAUGAAGGCCCUCGGGUUGUAAAAUCCUUUUCAGGGGGACGAGGAAGGACGGUACCCUUGGAAUAAGCGUCGGCUAACUACGUGCCAGCAGCCGCGGUAAGACGUAGGACGCAAGCGUUAUCCGGAUUUACUGGGCGUAAAGCGUCUGUAGGCGGAAUGGUAAGUUGGACGUGAAAGCUCCGGGCUCAACCCGGAGAGGUCGUUCAAUACUGCCAAACUAGAGGGCAUCAGAGGAGCGUGGAAUUUCCGGUGUAGCGGUAAAAUGCGCAGAUAUCGGAAGGAACACCAAUGGCGAAGGCAGCGCUCUGGGAUGAACCUGACGCUAAGAGACGAAAGCUAGGGGAGCGAACAGGAUUAGAUACCCUCGUAGUC
Molecule: ribosomal RNA, 440 nt
Filed under: uncultured bacterium
Lineage: Bacteria
Description: partial 16S ribosomal RNA
Rfam family: Bacterial small subunit ribosomal RNA
Source: RNAcentral